GUGGGGAAUAUUGCGCAAUGGGGGAAACCCUGACGCAGCAACGCCGCGUGAGUGAAGAAGUAUUUCGGUAUGUAAAGCUCUAUCAGCAGGGAAGAAGAUGACGGUACCUGCAGAAGAAGUCCCGGCUAACUACGUGCCAGCAGCCGCGGUAAUACGUAGGGGACAAGCGUUAUCCGGAUUUACUGGGUGUAAAGGGAGCGUAGGCGGCCAGCCAAGUCAGAAGUGAAAUCCCACGGCUCAACUGUGGGCGUGCUUUUGAAACUGGAGGGCUUGAGUACUGGAGGGGCAAGCGGAAUUCCUGGUGUAGCGGUGAAAUGCAUAGAUAUCAGGAAGAACACCGGAGGCGAAGGCGGCUUGCUGGACAGAGACUGACGCUGAGGCUCGAAGGCGUGGGGAGCAAACAGG
Molecule: ribosomal RNA, 405 nt
Filed under: uncultured rumen bacterium
Lineage: Bacteria
Description: bacterial SSU rRNA
Rfam family: Bacterial small subunit ribosomal RNA
Source: RNAcentral